RNAcentral lists this ribosomal RNA (468 nucleotides) under uncultured bacterium. RNAcentral describes it as "partial 16S ribosomal RNA". It matches the Rfam family "Bacterial small subunit ribosomal RNA", at positions 28 to 507 of the family's 1533-position model. The record is from RNAcentral.
GACGAACGCUGGCGGCGUGCUUAACACAUGCCAGUCGAACGGAAAGUCCCUGCUUUUGUGGGGUGCUCGAGUGGCGAACGUGUGAGUAACACGUUUGUAACCUGCCCUUGACUUUGGGUUACCUUCAGGAAACUGGUGCUCAUACCGGCUAGGUGCUCCUGCUGCAUUGUGGGGGUUGGAACGCUUCGGCGGUUUGGAUUGCACUCGCGACUUCUCAGCUUGUUGGUGGGGUAGUGGCUUACCAAGGCUUUUACGGGUAGCCGGCCUGGGAGCUUGACCGGACACAUCUGGACUGUGAUCCGGCCCAAGCAACUACGGGAGGCAGCAGGGGGGAAGAGUGAACGAUGGACGGAACACUAAUGCAGGAACGCCGCGUGCGGGAUGACGGCCUUCGGGUUGUGGACCGCUUUCGCCGGCGACGAUGCGUGAGUGGCGGGAAUGAGUAAAGAAGAACCGGCUAACUACGUG